AAGCCUUGAGUUCUUUCUGCUAAGUGAAAUAAUCAGACUCAAAAAGACAACUACUACAUGAUUCCACUUAACAGAGAGAUUAUUCCAGGAAAAGAAGUGGCCCUCAGUGUCAAAGGAUGCAAAACUAACCUCUGAGUUCCUGGCAGGUUUAGCAAUAAAGGAGGAUGUUGCUGAUCUCAGUACAAGCAAUGUUAGAGAAAGGGGAAGAUGGAAGUGGACAAGGACGAGUGAGUGGAAGGUGACAAAUGGAAGCAAAGAAACGUAUCCAGACCAUUGAAGAUGCUUGAGCGAGAAGAAAGAGGCGGUGGAGGGAAUGGAAGCCCGAGGAAGUCAUAUGUUGCAAUAAGGGGCCUCAGAGCACGUGUAGAGUGUGGAGCAGAGCCCUUGCAGAGGGGCUGUGGAAGGCUGGCAGGGUGCAGGUGGCCCCACUCUCCGUCACCCUGAGGAGUGUGUGGUCAGAGUUAAAGCUCAGUCUGUUUCUGGGAUCAGGUAAGAGGUGAGCGUCCGGAGAAGACAGGCGGAUCUUCAGAUCCUGCAGACCUCCACCGUGCCCUCUGUCCCUCUCGACUGCUUUUUCUCCAUCUCCAUUGUCUGGCUCACAUUGGUGUCACUUUUUCAUUUCUCCCUGCCCGUCUUUUCUCUUUUCUCCUCUCUUUUUCUUAACCCUUGUACCUUUGGAAGUCCCACUAACAGAAUUUAAACAGCUUUUCAAGUUGGUUUUUUGUUCCCAGAAAUUGAUUUUAGACUCUCCAUGAAUAAUGUGGAAAUCAAAUGAGUAUAAGCUGGUUCAUCUCUCUGCAAAUAAACAAAUAAAAUCUACAUUCCAAUGUUUCUUCUU
Homo sapiens (human) is the source of this 838-nucleotide long non-coding RNA. Ensembl annotates it as PSG8 antisense RNA 1. Its record names the gene PSG8-AS1. Lineage: Eukaryota; Metazoa; Chordata; Mammalia; Primates; Hominidae. The record is from Ensembl.